This 253-nucleotide ribosomal RNA is filed under the name uncultured bacterium. RNAcentral's name for it is "partial 16S ribosomal RNA". It matches the Rfam family "Bacterial small subunit ribosomal RNA", at positions 524 to 776 of the family's 1533-position model. The record is from RNAcentral.
UACGUAGGUGGCAAGCGUUGUCCGGAUUUACUGGGCGUAAAGAGCGCGCAGGCGGUCGUAUAAGUCGAAUGUGAAAGCCCCCGGCUCAACUGGGGAGGGUCAUUCGAUACUGUUCGACUCGAAGGUAGGAGAGGGAAGUGGAAUUCCGGGUGUAGUGGUGAAAUGCGUAGAUAUCCGGAGGAACACCAGUGGCGAAGGCGACUUUCUGGCCUGUUCUUGACGCUGAGGCGCGAAAGCUAGGGGAGCAAACGGG